Non-coding RNA from Lingula anatina, 45 nucleotides. The record is from Rfam. NCBI's taxonomy places the organism in Eukaryota, Metazoa, Brachiopoda, Lingulata, Lingulida, Lingulidae.
AAAACAGCCCUUUUCAGGGCUACACACAUGCUCAGGAAAAGCAAU